AGAGUUUGAUCCUGGCUCAGAUUGAACGCUGGCGGCAGGCUUAACACAUGCAAGUCGAGCGGUAACAGGGGGUGCUUGCACCCCGCUGACGAGCGGCGGACGGGUGAGUAAUGCUUAGGAAUCUGCCCAGUAGUGGGGGACAACAGUCGGAAACGGCUGCUAAUACCGCAUACGCCCUACGGGGGAAAGCAGGGGAUCUUCGGACCUUGCGCUAUUGGAUGAGCCUAAGUCGGAUUAGCUAGUUGGUAGGGUAAAGGCCUACCAAGGCGACGAUCCGUAGCUGGUCUGAGAGGAUGAUCAGCCACAUCGGGACUGAGACACGGCCCGAACUCCUACGGGAGGCAGCAGUGGGGAAUAUUGGACAAUGGGGGCAACCCUGAUCCAGCCAUGCCGCGUGUGUGAAGAAGGCUUUCGGGUUGUAAAGCACUUUCAGCGAGGAGGAAGGCCUUAAAGUUAAUACCUUUAAGGAUUGACGUUACUCGCAGAAGAAGCACCGGCUAACUCCGUGCCAGCAGCCGCGGUAAUACGGAGGGUGCAAGCGUUAAUCGGAAUUACUGGGCGUAAAGCGCGCGUAGGUGGUUUGGUAAGCGAGAUGUGAAAGCCCCGGGCUUAACCUGGGAACGGCAUUUC
Molecule: ribosomal RNA, 630 nt
Filed under: uncultured bacterium
Lineage: Bacteria
Description: bacterial SSU rRNA
Rfam family: Bacterial small subunit ribosomal RNA
Source: RNAcentral